This 459-nucleotide long non-coding RNA is filed under the name Brassica rapa (field mustard). RNAcentral describes it as "long non-coding RNA (BRAP_LNC004014)". The record is from RNAcentral. Lineage: Eukaryota; Viridiplantae; Streptophyta; Magnoliopsida; Brassicales; Brassicaceae.
UUGGAUCCUCUUCUUUUUCGCACUCUUCUCCAAAACAGAUACUUCAUUUCCUACUAAAACGUUCAAUCCCUCGGCUUCCUUACUUUCUGAGCAUUGUCGCUUCUUAGACUCCUUCAUAGGUUCAACACUGGCGGUAUCCUGAUGCCCACAGUCCACAGCCUUUAGAACCGGCGAGGUGUGAUUGCUGCUCUCUUGGCUCCUCUUCUUUUUAGCACUCUUCUCCAAAACGGAUGCUUCAUUUCCUACUAAAACAUUCAAUCCCUCAGGUUCUCUGCCUUCUGAGCAUUGUCGCUUCUUAGACUCCUUCAUAGGCUCAACACUAGUAGUACCCUGAAGCCCAUGGCCCUCAGCCUCUAGAACCGGCGAGACGUGAUUGCUACCUUCUCCCUUCUCUAUCUUCUUCUUCUUCUUCUUCUUUUUCUUCCCACUCUUCUCCAAGACAGAUACUUCAUUCCUCGC